Molecule: long non-coding RNA, 776 nt
Organism: Amphimedon queenslandica
Lineage: Eukaryota; Metazoa; Porifera; Demospongiae; Haplosclerida; Niphatidae
Exons: 4
Source: RefSeq, a predicted model, not a curated record
UUGCAGCAUCUAGAUUUGGAAAAGGAAUUAGUCUAAUGGAAAAUGAUUUUAUAUUUUUUCCAGUCAACAAACCCCAACAUUGGUCACUAUAUGUAAGGAGUAAAUGUAUUCGAAGCACAGUGAAGUCCAUUGAAGUGAAGUUAUGACAGUUAUACAGUGGAGAGUGCAUUAGUGGUUUUUUGAAUCAUCAGCAGAAUAAAUUUGUAAAUUCAGCAAUAGAUAACAAUACAUGGAUUGAGCUUGAUGACAUGGUAAUGAGAAUACUAUAUAAUAGUAAGAAUGCUUAUAUGUGCAUGAAUUGCUUUUAGCAUGUAGUCAGGCAUGGCCUGACCCUUGCGAAAACAGAGGGUCAGGAACCUCGUAUAUACCAGUCUUGUUAGCUGCUGCAAAAAUUCUGCAGUGACGCAUUGUGACUCGCUAUGACUAUUAACUUUAAUAAUCAUUAAUAAUUGAAAAUGGAUGUUGGUGCUGUAGCUGCUAAUCUUCUUGGUAUCCAUUCUCUGCAUUUGCAUAUUCUUCCAGACACUAUAAAUUGUGACGUAAAUAAAAAAUCUGUAUAUAUGUUGGGAAAAUUCACUAAAACAAUAAUUUGGUCAGAGAUAGUUGCUUCUUUAAUAAUAAAUAAAUUUGAUGUUACAUAUCAAGUGGCAAUAGAGGCUGUCAUUAAUAAUACUAUUCCAUCCUAAUUUUAUUCUUUUAUGUUAAAUUGUUCAUGUACUAGUAAAUUUAUGCAUUAAUUUAUAGGCUUAGAAAGGAUAUUAAAUCUCGACUGGUUG